CAGCCGCCGCGGUAAUACGGAGGGUGCAAGCGUUAAUCGGAAUUACUGGGCGUAAAGCGUGCGUAGGCGGUUCGUUAAGUCUGUUGUGAAAGCCCCGGGCUCAACCUGGGAAUGGCAAUGGAUACUGGCGAGCUAGAGUGUGUCAGAGGAUGGUGGAGUUCCCGGUGUAGCGGUGAAAUGCGUAGAGAUCGGAAGGAACACCUGUGGCGAAAGCGGCUCACUGGACAAUAACUGACGCUGAUGCACGAAAGCUAGGGGAGCAAACAGGAUUAGAUACCCCAGUAGUCCCUGUCUCUUAUAC
Molecule: ribosomal RNA, 301 nt
Filed under: uncultured bacterium
Lineage: Bacteria
Description: partial 16S ribosomal RNA
Rfam family: Bacterial small subunit ribosomal RNA
Source: RNAcentral